AUAACCGGCACUUAUAUAUAGUGAGACGUCAAUCGUCACUAUUUCUCAGUAAAUUUUUGAUUCAUCUGAUGAUAAACAAUAUUCAUCGAGCAAUCAAAUUUGUUUAUAAUCGGACUGAGAUACAAAAUGUUACAUCCAAAGAUAGUGGUCUUGAUACUUUCAAUUUCAGUAUUAUCUUGCCUAGCAGGAGAUAUCGUGAUAACUUCGAAAGAAGACCAUUGUAGAACAUUUACAUCUUGCUCUUCAUGUAUCUCUAAGAAUACUUGCACAUGGUGUGUCACCAAAAGUUUAUGUACGAAACAACUUUGCGGCAACGACAACGUGAUAUAUCCACCGCAAAUUCCUGCUCUCAUGUCUGGACCAGACUUUUGCCCUCGGGUUGCAGAAGCGAAAGAACUAACAUUUGCAAGCGGUAAGAAAGACAUCAUAACAGUAAAAAUAACACAAAUAUAUCUUUAUAUGGCUUUCACGCCGUGGAAGUGCGAGAUUAAUUUAAAUGGCGAAGAUGUUAUACUGCAGGCGGCUUUGAUUGGAGAUACGGUUUACUGCGAGUCAUUUGAAAUAAGAAACAAAUCUGAGAAUCCUUAUAUCGAAGGUAAUGUAAAAGUUUUAUGGAAUUACAAUAAGGUUUUCGACGGAUCACUCCCUUUUAAAGUUUGCCGAUGCGAUUUAGAGCCGAAUUGUGUCGCUUGUAAAAACGGAGAAAAAUAGAGGAUCGUGCAGCGCCUAAAGAAAUAAAACGUUUUGUGAACAGAGCUGCCUUCACUGAAAACAGUUUUAUACAGGAACGUAAAGAGAGCAACGGAACAAUACGUUAAAGUAAAAGUAUAUUCUUGUCAAAUUGAGAUUAAAUAUUAUUAACACAUA
Long non-coding RNA from Vanessa tameamea, 867 nucleotides. RefSeq lists it as uncharacterized. The record is from RefSeq and is a predicted model, not a curated record. Lineage: Eukaryota; Metazoa; Arthropoda; Insecta; Lepidoptera; Nymphalidae. The transcript is spliced from 2 exons.